Molecule: non-coding RNA, 29 nt
Filed under: Rattus norvegicus (Norway rat)
Lineage: Eukaryota; Metazoa; Chordata; Mammalia; Rodentia; Muridae
Source: RNAcentral
UUUUUCUAAGGAGACCUUAACUGGGAUGG